UUUUACUAUGGUUUCGACUUAUUUCAAAUAAUUGAAAGUGACGGGCAAUAUGUACAUAUAUUAAUUUUUAUUUAAAAUUAAUAAAUUUAAUUAAUUUUAAUUUUAAAUUCUUUUUUUAAAAAAUUUUAUAAUUUUUUAAUUAUAUUUUAUUAAAUGUAAUACUUUUUUUCUUAAAUAUAAGUUGAAUUUUGAUUUGAAUUAUUAUUUUAUAUAAUAUUAAAAUUAUUUAUUUUAAAAUUAAAUUAAAACAAUAAUAUACAAACAUUAAAUUUAAGUAUUUUUUUAAGUUUAUUAUCUAUUAAAAAAUAUAUUCCUUUAAAAAAUUAAUAUACUGUCAAAUUUAUUAAAUUUGGAUAAAAAAUUUAAUUUUUAAAUUAUUAUUUUAUGUUUUAAUAGUAGGGUAUCUAUCCCUAGUUUAAA
This 420-nucleotide ribosomal RNA is filed under the name Psyttalia fletcheri. RNAcentral describes it as "partial 12S ribosomal RNA". Lineage: Eukaryota; Metazoa; Arthropoda; Insecta; Hymenoptera; Braconidae. The record is from RNAcentral.